This 29-nucleotide small RNA is filed under the name Bombyx mori (domestic silkworm). RNAcentral describes it as "ovarian small RNA-22236". Lineage: Eukaryota; Metazoa; Arthropoda; Insecta; Lepidoptera; Bombycidae. The record is from RNAcentral.
UAGCAAUUUCACGUGGUAUCUGAGAUAUG